This 586-nucleotide ribosomal RNA is filed under the name uncultured bacterium. RNAcentral's name for it is "partial 16S ribosomal RNA". It matches the Rfam family "Bacterial small subunit ribosomal RNA", at positions 355 to 1375 of the family's 1533-position model. The record is from RNAcentral.
UGGGGAAUUUUGGACAAUGGGCGAAAGCCUGAUCCAGCAAUGCCGCGUGUGUGAAGAAGGCCUUCGGGUUGUAAAGCACUUUUGUCCGGAAAGAAAUCCUUGGCUCUAAUACAGUCGGGGGAUGACGGUACCGGAAGAAUAAGCACCGGCUAACUACGUGCCAGCAGCCGCGGUAAUACGUAGGGUGCAAGCGUUAAUCGGAAUUACUGGGCGUAAAGCGUGCGCAGGCGGUUUGCUAAGACCGAUGUGAAAUCCCCGGGCUCAACCUGGGAACUGCAUUGGUGACUGGCAGGCUAGAGUAUGGCAGAGGGGGGUAGAAUUCCGACGUGUAGCAGUGAAAUGCGUAGAGAUGUGGAGGAAUACCGAUGGCGAAGGCAGCCCCCUGGGCCAAUACUGACGCUCAUGCACGAAAGCGUGGGGAGCAAACAGGAUUAGAUACCCUGGUAGUCCACGCCCUAAACGAUGUCAACUAGUUGUUGGGGAUUCAUUUCCUUAGUAACGUAGCUAACGCGUGAAGUUGACCGCCUGGGGAGUACGGUCGCAAGAUUAAAACUCAAAUGAAUUGACGGGGUCAUAGCUGUUUCCU